Molecule: ribosomal RNA, 426 nt
Filed under: uncultured bacterium
Lineage: Bacteria
Description: bacterial SSU rRNA
Rfam family: Bacterial small subunit ribosomal RNA
Source: RNAcentral
UGGGGAAUUUUGGACAAUGGGCGAAAGCCUGAUCCAGCCAUUCCGCGUGCAGGAUGAAGGCCCCUGGGUUGUAAACUGCUUUUGUACGGAACGAAACGGCGCUUUCUAAUACAGAGCGCUAAUGACGGUACCGUAAGAAUAAGCACCGGCUAACUACGUGCCAGCCGCCGCGGUAAUACGUAGGGUGCGAGCGUUAAUCGGAAUUACUGGGCGUAAAGCGUGCGCAGGCGGUGAUGUAAGACAGAUGUGAAAUCCCCGGGCUCAACCUGGGAACUGCAUUUGUGACUGCAUCGCUGGAGUGCGGCAGAGGGGGAUGGAAUUCCGCGUGUAGCAGUGAAAUGCGUAGAGAUGUGGAGGAAUACCGAUGGCGAAGGCAGCCCCCUGGGCCAAUACUGACGCCCAUGCACGAAAGCGUGGGGAGCAAAC